RNAcentral lists this ribosomal RNA (253 nucleotides) under uncultured bacterium. Its description in RNAcentral is "partial 16S ribosomal RNA". It matches the Rfam family "Bacterial small subunit ribosomal RNA", at positions 524 to 776 of the family's 1533-position model. The record is from RNAcentral.
UACGGGGGGGGCAAGCGUUAAUCGGAAUUACUGGGCGUAAAGCGCACGUAGGUGGUUUGUUAAGCUAGCUGUGAAAUCCCCGGGCUCAACCUGGGCACUGCAGUUAGAACUGGCAAGCUAGAGUAGGGUAGAGGGGUGUGGAAUUCCAGGUGUAGCGGUGAAAUGCGUAGAUAUCUGGAGGAACAUCAGUGGCGAAGGCGACACCCUGGACUCAUACUGACACUGAGGUGCGAAAGCGUGGGGAGCAAACAGG